Non-coding RNA from Musa acuminata subsp. malaccensis (wild Malaysian banana), 562 nucleotides. The record is from RefSeq and is a predicted model, not a curated record. NCBI's taxonomy places the organism in Eukaryota, Viridiplantae, Streptophyta, Magnoliopsida, Zingiberales, Musaceae.
CCCCUCCACCUUUCGGCACGAAAGCGAGAGAACGGAGAGCCAAAUCCACACGUAACGCCCACUUUCAUCCUCCCUUUGUCCCUCUGAUGCAUCAUUUCCCUACUUUAGAGUCGUGGACGAAGGAAACCAGCACGAAUGUUGAAACUGCUCCACAACCUUGGAUGCCAUGGGAACUGUGUAAACUACUCUUGCUAGCUCAAUGGAGAACAAAACCAACUGUUAAUCCAGAAUUCAGCUGUCAACCUCAAAUUGACGCAAUUUGAGGAUCAUCUCCAGCAUGAAUCUUGAGGAGCCAAGGGGAGGGCAAAAGAAGAGGAUAGGUUGACGAUCCAAAUAUCCAAGUAAAGCCUGACCUUUGUUGGGAGUGUUUCCGAUACCUAAGUCAGAGUGAGUCCUAAAAUAAGAUUUAAAGAUGGUAUGCAGAGAGACAUGUAUAAUUUUGAGUUCUAUUUUAUAGUCGAGAAUUUCUAACCGUUUAAGGAUAGGACGAAUAUUUUUUGAAUAUUUUUCGGUUUCGAUUUGUGCUAAUGUGACAAAUUUGGGUUAUUUUCAUUUUUGUUAA